Molecule: transfer RNA, 65 nt
Filed under: human gut metagenome
Also listed under: 1 other name
Rfam family: tRNA
About the family: Transfer RNA (tRNA) molecules are approximately 80 nucleotides in length. Their secondary structure includes four short double-helical elements and three loops (D, anti-codon, and T loops).
Source: RNAcentral
CGGUAGCUCAGCUGGAUAGAGCAACGGCCUUCUAAGCCGUCGGUCGCAGGUUCGAAUCCUGUCCG